AACGAACGCUGGCGGCAUGCCUAACACAUGCAAGUCGAACGAGAUCUUCGGGUCUAGUGGCGCACGGGUGCGUAACGCGUGGGAAUCUGCCCUUUGGUUCGGAAUAACAGUUGGAAACGACUGCUAAUACCGGAUGAUGGCGAAAGUCCAAAGAUUUAUUGCCAGAGGAUGAGCCCGCGUAGGAUUAGCUAGUUGGUGUGGUAAAGGCGCACCAAGGCGACGAUCCUUAGCUGGUCUGAGAGGAUGAUCAGCCACACUGGGACUGAGACACGGCCCAGACUCCUACGGGAGGCAGCAGUGGGGAAUAUUGGACAAUGGGCGAAAGUCUGAUCCAGCAAUGCCGCGUGAGUGAUGAAGGCCUUAGGGUUGUAAAGCUCUUUUACCCGGGAUGAUAAUGACAGUACCGGGAGAAUAAGCUCCGGCUAACUCCGUGCCAGCCGCCGCGGUAA
RNAcentral lists this ribosomal RNA (449 nucleotides) under uncultured bacterium. RNAcentral's name for it is "partial 16S ribosomal RNA". It matches the Rfam family "Bacterial small subunit ribosomal RNA", at positions 29 to 523 of the family's 1533-position model. The record is from RNAcentral.